AGUGAACGCUGGCGGUAGGCCUAACACAUGCAAGUCGAACGGCAGCACAGUAAGAGCUUGCUCUUACGGGUGGCGAGUGGCGGACGGGUGAGGAAUACAUCGGAAUCUACUUUUUCGUGGGGGAUAACGUAGGGAAACUUACGCUAAUACCGCAUACGACCUACGGGUGAAAGCAGGGGAUCUUCGGACCUUGCGCGAUUGAAUGAGCCGAUGUCGGAUUAGCUAGUUGGCGGGGUAAAGGCCCACCAAGGCGACGAUCCGUAGCUGGUCUGAGAGGAUGAUCAGCCACACUGGAACUGAGACACGGCCCAGACUCCUACGGGAGGCAGCAGUGGGGAAUAUUGGACAAUGGGCGCAAGCCUGAUCCAGCCAUACCGCGUGGGUGAAGAAGGCCUUCGGGUUGUAAGGCCCUUUUGUUGGGAAAGAAAAGCAGCAGGUUAAUACCCCGCUGUUCUGACGGUACCCAAAGAAUAAGCACCGGCUAACUUCGUG
RNAcentral lists this ribosomal RNA (492 nucleotides) under uncultured bacterium. RNAcentral's name for it is "partial 16S ribosomal RNA". It matches the Rfam family "Bacterial small subunit ribosomal RNA", at positions 29 to 507 of the family's 1533-position model. The record is from RNAcentral.